ACGAACGCUGGCGGCGUGCUUAACACAUGCAAGUCGCACGGAAAGGCCCUGCUUUUGUGGGGUGCUCGAGUGGCGAACGGGUGAGUAACACGUGAGUAACCUGCCCUUGACUUUGGGAUAACUUAAGGAAACUGGGGCUAAUACCGGAUAGGAGCUCCUGCUGCAUGGUGGGGGUUGGAAAGUUUCGGCGGUUGGGGAUGGACUCGCGGCUUAUCAGCUUGUUGGUGGGGUAGUGGCUUACCAAGGCUUUGACGGGUAGCCGGCCUGAGAGGGUGACCGGCCACAUUGGGACUGAGAUACGGCCCAGACUCCUACGGGAGGCAGCAGUGGGGAAUAUUGCACAAUGGGCGGAAGCCUGAUGCAGCAACGCCGCGUGCGGGAUGACGGCCUUCGGGUUGUAAACCGCUUUCGCCUGUGACGAAGCGUGAGUGACGGUAAUGGGUAAAGAAGCACCGGCUAACUACGUG
RNAcentral lists this ribosomal RNA (467 nucleotides) under uncultured bacterium. RNAcentral describes it as "partial 16S ribosomal RNA". It matches the Rfam family "Bacterial small subunit ribosomal RNA", at positions 29 to 507 of the family's 1533-position model. The record is from RNAcentral.